Non-coding RNA from Nothobranchius furzeri (turquoise killifish), 462 nucleotides. The record is from RefSeq and is a predicted model, not a curated record. NCBI's taxonomy places the organism in Eukaryota, Metazoa, Chordata, Actinopteri, Cyprinodontiformes, Nothobranchiidae.
GUCUCCCAGGCUAGUAAGUACUGAGGGCUUCAUCUAUCUAAAAGGAGUCAUUUCCAUCUGAAUGUGGCAGCACCGGGACACAGCAGCAGAGCGAGUCCACAUCCAGAAGGCUGGAGCCGUGUUUCACUGACAGGCUGUCAGACUAACGCCCUGAUGAGCUCAGCUGGGACAAACUGGUCUGAUGUUUAGGAACACAGAACGUUCAGAUGUUGGAGCUUCACGUCACCUACUGAGGAAGGAGACCCACCAGUAAAGAGACGGUAGCUGGACCAGACCAAAAAUAUGGCGAUGACAUCAUGGAACUGGUCAAUGGAAAAGUUUUCCCUGAACCAACUCCGUUUCUAGAUGAGGUAGAGAAGAUCUGCAUCUCACCAACCCUCUGGUCUCAGAGACAACGGAGGUCUCCCACUGUUAUCCAGGACCAGUUUGAAGCCCACAUACUGCCCCUCCCUCAUCAUCAGG